RNAcentral lists this ribosomal RNA (1117 nucleotides) under Salmonella enterica. RNAcentral's name for it is "partial 23S ribosomal RNA". It matches the Rfam family "Bacterial large subunit ribosomal RNA", at positions 1198 to 2215 of the family's 2925-position model. The record is from RNAcentral. Lineage: Bacteria; Pseudomonadati; Pseudomonadota; Gammaproteobacteria; Enterobacterales; Enterobacteriaceae.
AGCUGCGGCAGCGAACGUAUCACUUAAAGCGAUUCAGCGGAUGACGAUUGACGGAGCGAAGCGACGUCAAAGCGUAUACAAAGUCGAGUCGGUUUAAGGAUACGUUCGUUGGGUAGGGGAGCGUUCUGUAAGCCUGCGAAGGUGGCCUGUGAGGGUUGCUGGAGGUAUCAGAAGUGCGAAUGCUGACAUAAGUAACGAUAAAGCGGGUGAAAAGCCCGCUCGCCGGAAGACCAAGGGUUCCUGUCCAACGUUAAUCGGGGCAGGGUGAGUCGACCCCUAAGGCGAGGCCGAAAGGCGUAGUCGAUGGGAAACGGGUUAAUAUUCCCGUACUUGGUGUUACUGCGAAGGGGGGACGGAGAAGGCUAUGUUGGCCGGGCGACGGUUGUCCCGGUUUAAGCGUGUAGGUGUGUGUUCCAGGUAAAUCCGGUUCACUUUAACACUGAGGCGUGAUGACGAGGCACUACGGUGCUGAAGCAACAAAUGCCCUGCUUCCAGGAAAAGCCUCUAAGCAUCAGGUAACAUCAAAUCGUACCCCAAACCGACACAGGUGGUCAGGUAGAGAAUACCAAGGCGCUUGAGAGAACUCGGGUGAAGGAACUAGGCAAAAUGGUGCCGUAACUUCGGGAGAAGGCACGCUGACAUGUAGGUGAAGUGAUUUACUCAUGGAGCUGAAGUCAGUCGAAGAUACCAGCUGGCUGCAACUGUUUAUUAAAAACACAGCACUGUGCAAACACGAAAGUGGACGUAUACGGUGUGACGCCUGCCCGGUGCCGGAAGGUUAAUUGAUGGGGUCAGCGCAAGCGAAGCUCCUGAUCGAAGCCCCGGUAAACGGCGGCCGUAACUAUAACGGUCCUAAGGUAGCGAAAUUCCUUGUCGGGUAAGUUCCGACCUGCACGAAUGGCGUAAUGAUGGCCAGGCUGUCUCCACCCGAGACUCAGUGAAAUUGAACUCGCUGUGAAGAUGCAGUGUACCCGCGGCAAGACGGAAAGACCCCGUGAACCUUUACUAUAGCUUGACACUGAACAUUGAGCCUUGAUGUGUAGGAUAGGUGGGAGGCUUUGAAGUGUGGACGCCAGUCUGCAUGGAGCCGACCUUGAAAUACCACCCUUUAAUGUUU